UACGGAGGAUGCGAGCGUUAUCCGGAUUUAUUGGGUUUAAAGGGUGCGCAGGCGGAUUUUUAAGUCAGCGGUCAAAUCGUGGGGCUCAACCCCUUCCCGCCAUUGAAACUGGCGUUCUUGAGUGGAAGAGAAGUAUGCGGAAUGCGCGGUGUAGCGGUGAAAUGCUUAGAUAUCGCGCAGAACCCCGAUUGCGAAGGCAGCGUACCGGCUCCACACUGACGCUGAGGCACGAAAGCGUGGGUAUCGAACAGG
Molecule: ribosomal RNA, 252 nt
Filed under: uncultured Bacteroidales bacterium
Lineage: Bacteria; Pseudomonadati; Bacteroidota; Bacteroidia; Bacteroidales
Description: partial 16S ribosomal RNA
Rfam family: Bacterial small subunit ribosomal RNA
Source: RNAcentral